AGGAGACUAAAGGUGUUCCGGUGGGACAACAGAUGUGACAAAGUAUUCUUAAACGGCAUUUGAUCAGCAUCUUCGAUUGGGUGUCUACUUAUAACAAGUCAGAUCUCCCCCACCAUCAACCACUGUUCCCAUUGUAACCCAAGGGAGGGUCCUGGGUGCCACGGCCCCCACCGUAAAGGUCAUCCUGCAGGGGUUAAAGGCCUUGGAGAAAGUGGUAGCAGAGGAGGUACCAGGUUGGAUGGGUGAGGAGUUAUUGUUGCCGCUGUUCCCAUGAGGGGUGUGCCCGUGGCCGUGCAGUCCAUGACCAAGCUCCUCUGUGUCCCAGCGGUCCGUACAGCGGCGGCGUGAGUUCAUGAAGAAGUUGGAGACAGUAGAAAGCUCUAGGCCCAGCUGCUGCGAGAUGGUGAUCUGCAUCUCCUUGGAGGGCCGGCGGUUCUCUCUGAAGAUUGCUACCAAGGAGGGUAUGCAGACUACAAGAGAGAGUAGCAUGAAGAGUCUACACUGACUACAGGACAGUGGAUGGAGCAGGACACCAGGGGAGAGAGUGGGGAGUGACAUGCAGGAAAGGGGCUGAAUGUCGAAAUCGAACCCAGGCUGCCUGCUUGAGGACUUAGUCUCUGUACAAAGGACACACAACUUAACACUAGGUCUGGCACACAACUGUUAAAGCUUACUUAUUGGUAAUGGUUUGGUACUUGUUUUCCCCCUCUCCUACACACCUGAAAAAGUUGUACUCAGUAUUAAUAUAUAUUUUUAAGAAAAUGUGCAUCAUUUGAAUACACAAAGAACUCCAGGUAAACUGUUGCAACAGAGGUCAAAAAGGUUGAUUUAGUUAGGUUAGGUUUAUUUUGGUCUGCAUCAACAACCAACACUUCCCUCAGCAACAUAGGAGAAAUGUAAAAAUCACAAAUAAAAACAAAACAAAACAAUCACUGAGGGAUUAAUCAACCAAGAAAAUAUAUAGAGAGAUAUACAUACACACACAUAUCAAUAUGCACAUGCAUACGUACACAUACACAUGCAUACAUAUACCUUCAGGCAUACACAUCCACAUAUAUUUUAGUUAAUCACAUGCUGACCAAAAAAAGGUGUAGGCUGAAGCCAAGGUUUAUCCUGCCUACCCUUUGAGAUAACUUACAGUCAUCCGCAACAUUGUGCAAGUAAUUCGGUUAUUUUAUAACAAAGCAAUCUAGAUUCAGAAACAAGAAACAAAAACCCAAAAUAUUGCAAUCACAACAAGCAAUUCAAGUAAAUCUUAGUGAAAUCUAAUUUUAAUUAAUACUUUAUACGUUUAUACUUCAUCCAUAUAUUUAUUCAUCUGUUUAUUUUUGAGCAUUUUUUAAAAUACAUAAAGGGAGUUACACAUUUUAAUUUUAAAAAUGUGUUUACAUCUUAUCUUAUUUUCAUCCGUAUGGUUUAGUUUUGUGCAGUCUAUUAGAUGUGUAUUGAAUGAAGUGAACACAGCUGUAUGUGGCACUUUGGCCUGAGGCAAAUUCCUCCUUUGAUCAAUAGAAUAUAUUUCAUCUUAUCUUGUAUUUAAAGCAGGACUUGAAAACGCAACAUAUUAUUCUCAUUUUGUAUAAAAUCUAUCAAUAACCAGGUAUUAAACCCUCUUUAAAUGCUACACAGGACAGUUCUUUAAUGAUAAAGAACAUGACAUUAACAUUUAGUAGCCUCAUUGUUGUUUCGGAUGGAUUUCUCAUUUCAAAGGUUUCAAAUCCUUACAAGUUGAUUUUCAAAGUGAGGUGAAAUUAAGUGAAACCAGUGGUCACCUGGAGGAUAGGCAAUCAAUCUAAAAACUUAGAGAGGGCUUAAAAUGCGGUCAUCAGUAAUGUAAAGUGGGCUGUACACUUUAUGGAUGUGCUACACCAUUCAAACUCCCCAGUGUGUUAAUUUAAUGUUAUCACAUAGGCACAAUAUUGUAUUGUUAGUCUGUGUGAAUAAUUAGAUUUAAUCCUUUCAUUAGGCAUUGUCAUACAACUCUCUUAAGUGUUGAGGUGGUUUUGGUGAAUAAAUAGUUUUCUCUGUUUGUCUGGUUGAAACUGGAGGAGCGUGAUGUGAAAUGCUGACAAAGAAGCGCACUCUCGUGCCUGGCUGCACCGUCAGUAGGCUCUGGGCUCGCGCUGUGGAGACUGGAGGGAGUCUGUUCUGUUCUGCUGCCCUAAAAAGCUGCAAUGAUCGAUUUUCCGCGGUUUUCUCCCGAACACGUGGUCCAGUAAUCAGGGCUCCCUUCCCCACCCGAUCGAUCCCCAUCGAUCCGCGAGACCGAGGCGUGUGUGUGUGUGUGUGUGUGUGUGUGUGUGCGUGUGUGUGCGCGCGCGUGCGUGUGUUUGUGCCAUGAGCGCGUGCACCGCCUCACAUCGGGGAGUUGAAGAUCGCGAGCGCGCUUUUGUGACAGACAGAUGGAGAAGAAAUUGUUUAUCUUUAGAAGAACAAAGGAGAUGUGGCGGAAAAGAGUGGCAGUCAUCCAGUUUUAGAGCUCAGACGAGGACACAGGAGUGUUUCCUAAUAUGUCAGAUUUAAAAAAGAAAUAGUAUGGCGUGCUUGAAAAGAAAAGUGGCAACAUUGGAAAAGGAUGAAAGGGAAGGUGGGAAAGAAAGAAUAAAGGUAUUUGCAGUGUUGGAGGCGUUGUAUGUAUGCAAAUGAUUGAUGAUUGUACAGCAGGUUUAGACAACAGAGGUAAACAGAUUUGACUGUGAGGGGGGAUCAAUAUGAAUGUGCACAUGUGUAUGCAUGCCUGUGUGUGAGUGUGCAUCUGCCUGCAUUGCCAUUGUUCAUGCUUUGAUCCUGCAAGCAAAGCAUAAUUAAUAAAGCAGAUAUUUUUCCUCAGCAGCAGAAA
Long non-coding RNA from Notolabrus celidotus (New Zealand spotty), 2839 nucleotides. RefSeq lists it as uncharacterized. NCBI's taxonomy places the organism in Eukaryota, Metazoa, Chordata, Actinopteri, Labriformes, Labridae. The transcript has 6 exons. The record is from RefSeq and is a predicted model, not a curated record.